This 368-nucleotide ribosomal RNA is filed under the name uncultured organism. RNAcentral describes it as "bacterial SSU rRNA". It matches the Rfam family "Bacterial small subunit ribosomal RNA", at positions 526 to 896 of the family's 1533-position model. The record is from RNAcentral.
CGAAGGAUGCGAGCGUUAUCCGGAUUCAUUGGGUUUAAAGGGAGCGUAGGUGGCCUUAUAAGUCAGUGGUGAAAUCUCUCGGCUUAACCGAGAAAUUGCCAUUGAUACUGUAGGGCUUGAGUAUAGUUGCCGUUGGCGGAAUAUGACAUGUAGUGGUGAAAUACAUAGAGAUGUCAUAGAACACCGAUUGCGAAGGCAGCUAACGAAACUAUAACUGACACUGAGGCUCGAAAGUGCGGGGAUCAAACAGGAUUAGAUACCCUGGUAGUCCGCACUGUAAACGAUGAUUACUCGCUGCUAGAUGGCAACAUUUAGUGGCUUAGCGAAAGCGAUAAGUAAUCCACCUGGGGAGUACGCCGGCAACGGUG